UACGUAGGGUGCAAGCGUUAAUCGGAAUUACUGGGCGUAAAGCGUGCGCAGGCGGUUAUGUAAGACAGAUGUGAAAUGCCCGGGCUUAACAUGGGAACUGCAUUUGUGACUGCAUGGCUAGAGUUUGGCAGAGGGGGGUAGAAUUCCACGUGUAGCAGUGAAAUGCGUAGAGAUGUGGAGGAACACCGAUGGCUAAGGCAGCCCCCUGGGUCAAGACUGACGCUCAUGCACGAAAGCGUGGGGAGCAAACAGG
RNAcentral lists this ribosomal RNA (253 nucleotides) under uncultured bacterium. RNAcentral's name for it is "partial 16S ribosomal RNA". It matches the Rfam family "Bacterial small subunit ribosomal RNA", at positions 524 to 776 of the family's 1533-position model. The record is from RNAcentral.